UGGGGAAUCUUGCACAAUGGGCGCAAGCCUGAUGCAGCCAUGCCGCGUGUAUGAAGAAGGCCUUCGGGUUGUAAAGUACUUUCAGCGGGGAGGAAGGCGAUAAGGUUAAUAACCUUGUCGAUUGACGUUACCCGCAGAAGAAGCACCGGCUAACUCCGUGCCAGCAGCCGCGGUAAUACGGAGGGUGCAAGCGUUAAUCGGAAUUACUGGGCGUAAAGCGCACGCAGGCGGUCUGUCAAGUCGGAUGUGAAAUCCCCGGGCUCAACCUGGGAACUGCAUUAGAAACUGGCAGGCUAGAGUCUUGUAGAGGGGGGUAGAAUUCCAGGUGUAGCGGUGAAAUGCGUAGAGAUCUGGAGGAAUACCGGUGGCGAAGGCGGCCCCCUGGACAAAGACUGACGCUCAGGUGCGAAAGCGUGGGGAGCAAACA
RNAcentral lists this ribosomal RNA (427 nucleotides) under uncultured bacterium. RNAcentral describes it as "partial 16S ribosomal RNA". It matches the Rfam family "Bacterial small subunit ribosomal RNA", at positions 355 to 774 of the family's 1533-position model. The record is from RNAcentral.